Molecule: ribosomal RNA, 497 nt
Filed under: uncultured bacterium
Lineage: Bacteria
Description: partial 16S ribosomal RNA
Rfam family: Bacterial small subunit ribosomal RNA
Source: RNAcentral
GAUGAACGCUGGCGGCGUGCCUAAUACAUGCAAGUCGAGCGAACAGAUGAGGAGCUUGCUCCUCUGACGUUAGCGGCGGACGGGUGAGUAACACGUGGAUAACCUACCUAUAAGACUGGGAUAACUUCGGGAAACCGGAGCUAAUACCGGAUAAUAUAUUGAACCGCAUGGUUCAAUAGUGAAAGACGGUUUUGCUGUCACUUAUAGAUGGAUCCGCGCCGCAUUAGCUAGUUGGUAAGGUAACGGCUUACCAAGGCAACGAUGCGUAGCCGACCUGAGAGGGUGAUCGGCCACACUGGAACUGAGACACGGUCCAGACUCCUACGGGAGGCAGCAGUAGGGAAUCUUCCGCAAUGGGCGAAAGCUUGACGGAGCAACGCCGCGUGAGUGAUGAAGGUCUUCGGAUCGUAAAACUCUGUUAUUAGGGAAGAACAAAUGUGUAAGUAACUAUGCACGUCUUGACGGUACCUAAUCAGAAAGCCACGGCUAACUGCGUG